Molecule: long non-coding RNA, 1210 nt
Organism: Oncorhynchus tshawytscha (Chinook salmon)
Lineage: Eukaryota; Metazoa; Chordata; Actinopteri; Salmoniformes; Salmonidae
Source: Ensembl
GAUAUCUAAUCAACGCACCGGGAGCCCAACAAACCCGAUGCAGACAGAAUGUCUCUAUGAAUUCACAGCCUUUUGGUCUCUAAAACAAACAUACAGGGGUUGUUGCAUACAUUUCUCCCCGAAACUCAUUCCGUACUUUUCGAUAGUUAGGGACAGAACUAUUUUUAACACGGUUAGCCCUGCUUUAGCGCAAACCCAAAGGCCUGAAUAUUUAGCUGCCCGGACAGAUUAAAAAAUAUAUUCUGAAUAAGUGAAUCUCUCAUAAUGGAUAUUUCUGGAGCCUUUACGCGAUUUACCGGAUCUGGAGCAACAUGAGGAGGCUCAAAAGUCAGACAGUCAGUCAGUCGCCAUCAGCCUUUUUUCGUUCCGACAUACAGCCAAGAAUGAUAAAGGAUUCGUUAUGGACAUCUGACACUGGGGACUUAGAUGCAAUUCUACCGUUCUGUACGACCGAUUUUUCAAACUCACCGAGAAUACAGGGAACGUCGACUCCCUCCAGACAUAUUCCCGACCCCAACAGGCAACGAACAACUGUGGCCCAAGUACAUUGCUCAGAUUCAACGCCACCCGAAAACUACUGUUGGGCUGGGAACUUGCUGCUUCACGAUCCGGCGCUCCAGGGACACGACUGCCCGGAGACAGCCCCUGCAGAAUCUGGAACGCUAGAGGAAAAAAGUCUAGAGCCCUCAGGAUCCUCAAUUCGUCAGAACAAGCGCCUAAAAAGCCGAGACUCCGCCCCGGCGAAAAACGGCACAGACGGCCACAUACAUCUAGAGCUGGGGGAUUCCGGCGCCCCGAACAUUCCCGAGGAAACACCCGAGAGACCUGUUUUUAAUGACAUGUCAGAUGUUGACGACCAGCUAUUCUGUGAUGCAGCCAACCUUAUCGACCCAGUCAAUUCUACGGCCUCAGUACCUGCAGCCGAACAAGAAAGGCUGGAGUUCCGUGGUUGUCAUACGUGAAGAGCUUUGGCGGUCUGCGUUCACUGUUGCGGUCACUUUGAGCUGGUAACAGAGGAGCUGCAACUUCUUUGUCCACGGGAUGUCGGUGGGCGGAGCCGGGAGGGUCGUCAGAGAAAUGGGACACACCUGGGCUCAGUCUUGAAGGAGUUCCCACAUAUGCACUUGUUGGCUGCUUUUCCUUCACUCUGGAGUCCAACUCAUCCCAAACGAUCUCAAUUGGUUUGAGGUCGGGUGAUUGUAGAGGCCAG